AGACUCCGCCUCUGAAGGCUGAGCUCUGAAGUCGAAACUCUCGUCUCAAGCUUUCAAUUUUGGAAUCUGGACGAAGCUCUGUUGCUCCUUUGAAGGUCGCCGGCGCACGCUGCCAUCACCAUUCUUGGACGGCGAUUUCAGCCGAUGCGGAAGGAUGCGAUUUUAACGCAAUCUUCGCUACCUUGAAAGGGAACACUGUAACCUCUGAGCUUCAGCUUAUCCACGUUUUGCAACCAUGCGCGCCGUAGCUGCUCGCUUUUCUAACUAUUUAUGUAAGAGGAGACCUGUGAUCAGUGUUCAAUCUCGUAAUUUUUCAUCAUAUAGUGGCAAAGGUAUGAGUUUCUAUUU
Molecule: non-coding RNA, 348 nt
Organism: Arachis ipaensis
Lineage: Eukaryota; Viridiplantae; Streptophyta; Magnoliopsida; Fabales; Fabaceae
Source: RefSeq, a predicted model, not a curated record